UAACCACAGCAGCUCAGGAC
This 20-nucleotide non-coding RNA is filed under the name Rattus norvegicus (Norway rat). Lineage: Eukaryota; Metazoa; Chordata; Mammalia; Rodentia; Muridae. The record is from RNAcentral.